Molecule: ribosomal RNA, 251 nt
Filed under: uncultured bacterium
Lineage: Bacteria
Description: partial 16S ribosomal RNA
Rfam family: Bacterial small subunit ribosomal RNA
Source: RNAcentral
UACGAAGGGGGCUAGCGUUGCUCGGAAUUACUGGGCGUAAAGGGCGCGUAGGCGGAUCGUUAAGUCAGAGGUGAAAGCCCAGGGCUCAACCCUGGAAUUGCCUUUGAUACUGGCGAUCUUGAGUACGGGAGAGUGUGUGGAACUCCGAGUGUAGAGGUGAAAUUCGUAGAUAUUCGGAAGAACACCAGUGCGAAGGCGACACACUGGCCCGUUACUGACGCUGAGGCGCGAAAGCGUGGGGAGCAAACAGG